This 453-nucleotide ribosomal RNA is filed under the name uncultured bacterium. Its description in RNAcentral is "bacterial SSU rRNA". It matches the Rfam family "Bacterial small subunit ribosomal RNA", at positions 340 to 786 of the family's 1533-position model. The record is from RNAcentral.
UACGGGAGGCAGCAGUGGGGAUAUUGCACAAUGGGCGCAAGCCUGAUGCAGCCAUGCCGCGUGUAUGAAGAAGGCCUUCGGGUUGUAAAGUACUUUCAGUCGUGAGGAAGGUGUUAAGGUUAAUAACCUUAGCAAUUGACGUUAGCGACAGAAGAAGCACCGGCUAACUCCGUGCCAGCAGCCGCGGUAAUACGGAGGGUGCGAGCGUUAAUCGGAAUUACUGGGCGUAAAGGGCACGCAGGCGGUUAAUUAAGUUGGAUGUGAAAUCCCCGGGCUUAACCUGGGAAUGGCAUUCAAGACUGGUUAGCUAGAGUCUUGUAGAGGGGGUAGAAUUCCAUGUGUAGCGGUGAAAUGCGUAGAGAUGUGGAGGAAUACCGGUGGCGAAGGCGGCCCCUGGGACAAAGACUGACGCUCAUGUGCGAAAGCGUGGGGAGCAAACAGGGAUUAGAUACC